GCCAAUACUAGCCCUAAGCACAACCAAUACUAAUACCAAACCAACACGCACACACCAAACCAUUCACCUACACAAAGUAUAGGCGAUAGAAAUUUUAACCUGGCGCUAUAGAUACAGUACCGUAAGGGAAAGAUAGAAAACCACCCAAGCACAAAACAGCAAGGACUAACUCCUGUACCUUUCGCAUAAUGAAUUAGCUAGAAACAAUUUCACAAAGAGGACUACAAGCUAAAUUCCCCGAAACCAGACGAGCUACCCAAAAACAGCUAAAAGAGCACACCCAUCUAUGUGGCAAAAUAGUGGGAAGAUUUCUGGGUAGAGGUGACAAGCCUACCGAGCCUGGUGAUAGCUGGUUAUCCAAGACAGAAUCUUAGUUCAACCUUAAGCUUACCUACAGAACUACCUAAUCCCCCUGUAAACUUAAUUGCUAGUCUAAAGAGGGACAGCUCUUUAGACACUAGGAAAAAACCUUAUAGAGAGAGUAAAACCCUCAAUUAUCAUAGUUGGCUUAAAAGCAGCCAUCAAUUAAGAAAGCGUUCAAGCUCAACACCAAUCACCCCAAAAAUACCAAACACACAACUGAACUCCUCACACCACAUUGGAUUAAUCUAUCACCAUAUAGAAGCAAUAAUGCUAGUAUAAGUAACAUGAAUAUUUUCUCCACUGCAUAAGCCUAAAUCGGACCGAAAGCCUCACCGAUACCUAACAGCCAGGCAUAGCAAGCACAAACAAGCCCAUGCUACCUCCACUGUUAACCCAACACAGGCAUGCCUCAAGGAAAGGUUAAAAAAAGUAAAAGGAACUCGGCAAACUCAAACCCCGCCUGUUUACCAAAAACAUCACCUCUAGCAUUACUAGUAUUAGAGGCACUGCCUGCCCAGUGACACACGUUCAACGGCCGCGGUACCCUGAC
Molecule: ribosomal RNA, 913 nt
Filed under: Macaca arctoides (stump-tailed macaque)
Lineage: Eukaryota; Metazoa; Chordata; Mammalia; Primates; Cercopithecidae
Description: partial 16S ribosomal RNA
Rfam family: Bacterial large subunit ribosomal RNA (bases 158-913)
Source: RNAcentral